CACGGAGACUGUUGUAUCACUCAUAGAGUUUUUUCCGGUAUCUUGCGAUCUGAUGUCAUGUGCAUGGCUUGUGGUUUCACAUCCACAACAUAUGAUCCAUGUGUGGACAUCUCACUGGAUUUAGAACCUCACCAAGGGGGUCCUGCAAAGUCAGCUUCUAUGAAGACUCAUCCUUCUUGCAAUGGUGAGGCAGAUAGCUUGAAUUCAGGCCAAAACUGUGGGAUAUCUACCCUAAUGGGAUGUUUGGACCGGUUUACUAGACCCGAAAGAUUGGGAGCUGACCAAAAAUUCUUCUGCCAACAAUGUCAGGUGAGGCAGGAGUC
Molecule: unclassified non-coding RNA, 323 nt
Filed under: Hevea brasiliensis (rubber tree)
Lineage: Eukaryota; Viridiplantae; Streptophyta; Magnoliopsida; Malpighiales; Euphorbiaceae
Source: RNAcentral